GCAGCAGUGGGGAAUUUUGGACAAUGGGCGCAAGCCUGAUCCAGCAAUGCCGCGUGAGUGAAGAAGGCCUUCGGGUUGUAAAGCUCUUUCAGUCGAGAAGAAAAGGCUGCAGUGAAUAACUGUAGUUUAUGACGGUAUCGACAGAAGAAGCACCGGCUAACUACGUGCCAGCAGCCGCGGUAAUACGUAGGGUGCGAGCGUUAAUCGGAAUUACUGGGCGUAAAGGGUGCGCAGGCGGUUUUGUAWGUCAGAUGUGAAAUCCCCGGGCUUAACCUGGGAAUUGCGUUUGAAACUACAAGACUAGAGUGUGGCAGAGGGAGGUGGAAUUCCAUGUGUAGCAGUGAAAUGCGUAGAGAUAUGGAAGAACAUCGAUGGCGAAGGCAGCCUCCUGGGUUAACACUGACGCUCAUGCACGAAAGCGUGGGGAGCAAACAGGAUUAGAUACCCUGGUAGUCCACGCCCUAAACGAUGUCAACUAGUUGUUGGGCCUUAUUAGGCUUAGUAACGAAGCUAACGCGKAAGUKWCCGC
Molecule: ribosomal RNA, 529 nt
Filed under: uncultured bacterium
Lineage: Bacteria
Description: bacterial SSU rRNA
Rfam family: Bacterial small subunit ribosomal RNA
Source: RNAcentral